RNAcentral lists this ribosomal RNA (495 nucleotides) under uncultured bacterium. RNAcentral's name for it is "bacterial SSU rRNA". It matches the Rfam family "Bacterial small subunit ribosomal RNA", at positions 1 to 509 of the family's 1533-position model. The record is from RNAcentral.
CAGCUAGAGUUUGAUCCUGGCUCAGGACGAACGCUGGCGGCGCGCCUAACACAUGCAAGUCGAACGGGGUUGAGAGGAGCUUGCUUUUCUUGACUUAGUGGCGAACGGGUGAGUAACGCGUGAGGAACCUGCCUCAAAGAGGGGGACAACAGUUGGAAACGACUGCUAAUACCGCAUAAGCCCACGGUCCCGCAUGGGAGAGAGGGAAAAGGAGCAAUCCGCUUUGAGAUGGCCUCGCGUCCGAUUAGCUAGUUGGUGAGGUAACGGCCCACCAAGGCGACGAUCGGUAGCCGGACUGAGAGGUUGAACGGCCACAUUGGGACUGAGACACGGCCCAGACUCCUACGGGAGGCAGCAGUGGGGAAUAUUGCACAAUGGGGGAAACCCUGAUGCAGCGACGCCGCGUGGAGGAAGAAGGUCUUCGGAUUGUAAACUCCUGUUGUUGGGGAAAAAGAGGAUGGUACCCAACAAGGAAGUGACGGCUAACUACGUGCC